AAUGGCACUGCCCGGUAGCUAAAUGCGGAAGAGAUAAGUGCUGAAAGCAUCUAAGCACGAAACUUGCCCCGAGAUGAGUUCUCCCUGACUCCUUGAGAGUCCUGAAGGAACGUUGAAGACGACGACGUUGAUAGGCCGGGUGUGUAAGCGCAGCGAUGCGUUGAGCUAACCGGUACUAAUGAACCGUGAGGCUUAACCUUACAACGCCGAAGCUGUU
This 217-nucleotide ribosomal RNA is filed under the name Escherichia coli. Its description in RNAcentral is "partial 23S ribosomal RNA". It matches the Rfam family "Bacterial large subunit ribosomal RNA", at positions 2731 to 2925 of the family's 2925-position model. The record is from RNAcentral. Lineage: Bacteria; Pseudomonadati; Pseudomonadota; Gammaproteobacteria; Enterobacterales; Enterobacteriaceae.